Molecule: ribosomal RNA, 117 nt
Filed under: Rhodococcus (subgen. Prescottella) equi
Lineage: Bacteria; Bacillati; Actinomycetota; Actinomycetes; Mycobacteriales; Nocardiaceae
Source: RNAcentral
UACGGCGGCCAUAGCGGAGGGGAAACGCCCGGUCCCAUUCCGAACCCGAAAGCUAAGCCCUCCAGCGCCGAUGGUACUGCACUCGACAGGGUGUGGGAGAGUAGGACACCGCCGAAC